GACAGAGGUCCCGAGCGUUGUUCGGAUUCAUUGGGCGUAAAGGGUGUGUAGGAGGCCAGGUAAGUCAGGUGUGAAAUCUCAGAGCUUAACUCUGAAACUGCGCUUGAUACUGCUUGGCUAGAGGAUCGGAGGGGGUAACGGAAUUUAUGGUGUAGCAGUGAAAUGCGUAGAUAUCAUAAGGAACACCGGUGGCGAAGGCGGUUACCUGGAAGAUUCCUGACUCUGAAACACGAAAGCCAGGGGAGCAAACGGG
This 253-nucleotide ribosomal RNA is filed under the name uncultured bacterium. RNAcentral describes it as "partial 16S ribosomal RNA". It matches the Rfam family "Bacterial small subunit ribosomal RNA", at positions 524 to 776 of the family's 1533-position model. The record is from RNAcentral.